This 320-nucleotide unclassified non-coding RNA is filed under the name plant metagenome. RNAcentral's name for it is "partial contains 5.8S ribosomal RNA, internal transcribed spacer 2, and large subunit ribosomal RNA". The stretch from base 1 to 105 matches the Rfam family "5.8S ribosomal RNA", at positions 50 to 154 of the family's 154-position model. The record is from RNAcentral.
GAAAUGCGAUAAGUAAUGUGAAUUGCAGAAUUCAGUGAAUCAUCGAAUCUUUGAACGCACAUUGCGCCCGCCAGUAUUCUGGCGGGCAUGCCUGUUCGAGCGUCAUUACAACCCUCAGGCCCCCGGGCCUGGCGUUGGGGAUCGGCGGAAGCCCCCUGCGGGCACAACGCCGUCCCCCAAAUACAGUGGCGGUCCCGCCGCAGCUUCCAUUGCGUAGUAGCUAACACCUCGCAACUGGAGAGCGGCGCGGCCACGCCGUAAAACACCCAACUUCUGAAUGUUGACCUCGAAUCAGUUAGGAAUACCCGCUGAACUUAAGC